AUGUCCCUGCUGUGUGCGUGAUAGUGAGUAAGAAUAUUUCAACUAACAACUUUUAUAAGGAAUUCCUGACUCGUGUCUGUGGCUGUAAACCAUGACGGGCUUUGCCUGUAACAAGGGAACGUAAAGCAGACAGGCGGAAAUCCACCUGUAUUUACAGGUUAGAAAUAACGCUCAUACACGGCACGGUGGGGUUAUA
This 196-nucleotide non-coding RNA is filed under the name Oscillospiraceae bacterium. RNAcentral's name for it is "6S RNA". It matches the Rfam family "6S / SsrS RNA". Rfam says of the family: E. coli 6S RNA was the first non coding RNA to be sequenced, but its function was unknown until recently. The record is from RNAcentral. Lineage: Bacteria; Bacillati; Bacillota; Clostridia; Eubacteriales; Oscillospiraceae.